UACGAAGGGUGCAAGCGUUAAUCGGAAUUACUGGGCGUAAAGCGCGCGUAGGUGGUUCAGUAAGUUGGAAGUGAAAUCCCCGGGCUCAACCUGGGAACUGCUUUCAAAACUGCUGAGCUAGAGUACGGUAGAGGGUGGUGGAAUUUCCUGUGUAGCGGUGAAAUGCGUAGAUAUAGGAAGGAACACCAGUGGCGAAGGCGACCACCUGGACUGAUACUGACACUUAGGUGCGAAAGCGUGGGGAGCAAACAGG
Molecule: ribosomal RNA, 253 nt
Filed under: uncultured bacterium
Lineage: Bacteria
Description: partial 16S ribosomal RNA
Rfam family: Bacterial small subunit ribosomal RNA
Source: RNAcentral